UGUUUACAAUAGUCGGAGCUUCUUGUUUCACUCGUCACUGAACUAUGCUCAGUAUUUUACUAGAUUUGUUUAGUGAAAUGGUCUAAUUGAGUAGUCGUUUAAUCAUCUCGCGGGGUUUGAUCAUAUCUCUGAGGGAUAUGGUGAAAUCCCGGUUUAUGCCAUUUCACUGCG
This is a long non-coding RNA of Maniola jurtina (meadow brown), 171 nucleotides long. RefSeq lists it as uncharacterized. Lineage: Eukaryota; Metazoa; Arthropoda; Insecta; Lepidoptera; Nymphalidae. The transcript has 4 exons. The record is from RefSeq and is a predicted model, not a curated record.